UCAGAGGUACUAUAGCAGUUGGUCUUUUUAUCAUUACAUGCACAACACCAUUCUGGUCUAAAACCUGGAACGCUAACCUCCUUGCAAAUGUACCAACCACUUUUUGGGGAUUCAUGGUUUAAAACACCGGUUUCAUGUCUUUGAUUGUUCUCGAUUCUUGUGCCUGUCAAGAAAUGAGACGAAACCUAGACUGAAAAUAAUGAAAUAUGCGAUAACUAACUUCAACAUCUUCGUGUGACUGUGUCUU
RNAcentral lists this long non-coding RNA (247 nucleotides) under Helianthus annuus (common sunflower). RNAcentral's name for it is "sRNA HanXRQr2_Chr13g0607341". The record is from RNAcentral. Lineage: Eukaryota; Viridiplantae; Streptophyta; Magnoliopsida; Asterales; Asteraceae.